ACGGGCAUAUCACGUUGAAAUACCGGUUCUCGUACGAUCACUGAAGUUAAGCAACCUUGAACCUGGGCAGUACAUAGAUGGGUGACCGCUUGGGACUAUCAUGUGCUGUAA
Acanthosepion pharaonis is the source of this 111-nucleotide non-coding RNA. NCBI's taxonomy places the organism in Eukaryota, Metazoa, Mollusca, Cephalopoda, Sepiida, Sepiidae. The record is from the annotation of a GenBank genome assembly.